GCAUAAUGUAGCUCAGUUGAUUAGACCGUGGUGCUGGUAAUGCCAACGUCACAGGUUUGAUCCCUGCAUAGGACAGCUGCG
This is a non-coding RNA of Podarcis lilfordi (Lilford's wall lizard), 81 nucleotides long. The record is from the annotation of a GenBank genome assembly. NCBI's taxonomy places the organism in Eukaryota, Metazoa, Chordata, Lepidosauria, Squamata, Lacertidae.